Molecule: transfer RNA, 71 nt
Filed under: Fukomys damarensis (Damara mole-rat)
Lineage: Eukaryota; Metazoa; Chordata; Mammalia; Rodentia; Bathyergidae
Rfam family: tRNA
About the family: Transfer RNA (tRNA) molecules are approximately 80 nucleotides in length.
Source: Rfam by way of RNAcentral
GAGGCUGUAGCUCAGUGGUAGAGUGCUUGCCUAGCAUGCAUGAAGCUCUGGGUUUAAUUCCCAGUGCCACA